AUUGAACGCUGGCGGAAUGCUUUACACAUGCAAGUCGAACGGCAGCACGGACUUCGGUCUGGUGGCGAGUGGCGAACGGGUGAGUAACAUAUCGGAACGUAUCCAAUAAUGGGGGAUAACGAGUCGAAAGAUUCGCUAAUACCGCAUACGCCCUACGGGGGAAAGCUGGGGACCUUCGGGCCUGGCGUUAAUGGAGCGGCCGAUAUCUGAUUAGCUAGUUGGUGAGGCAAAGGCUCACCAAGGCGACGAUCAGUAGCUGGUCUGAGAGGACGACCAGCCACACUGGAACUGAGACACGGUCCAGACUCCUACGGGAGGCAGCAGUGGGGAAUUUUGGACAAUGGGCGCAUGCCUGAUCCAGCCAUUCCGCGUGAGUGAAGAAGGCCUUCGGGUUGUAAAGCUCUUUCGCAAGGGAAGAAAACUUAGCCACUAACAUUGGUUGAGGUUGACGGUACCUUGAUAAGAAGCACCGGCUAACUACGUGCCAGCCGCCGCAGUAA
Molecule: ribosomal RNA, 500 nt
Filed under: uncultured bacterium
Lineage: Bacteria
Description: partial 16S ribosomal RNA
Rfam family: Bacterial small subunit ribosomal RNA
Source: RNAcentral